GACGAACCGUCCAAACGUUAUUCGGAAUCACUGGGCUUAAAGGGUGCGUAGGCGGAGAGGCAAGUCAGAGGUGAAAGCCCACGGCUCAACCGUGGAAGUGCCCCUGAAACGGCCUCUCUCGAGGGAGAUAGGGGCGUGCGGAACUCAGAGUGGAGCGGUGAAAUGCGUAGAGAUUCUGAGGAACACCGGUGGCGAAAGCGGCGCGCUGGGUCUUUGCUGACGUUGGGGCACGAAAGCUAUGGGAGCAUACGGG
This 253-nucleotide ribosomal RNA is filed under the name uncultured bacterium. RNAcentral's name for it is "partial 16S ribosomal RNA". It matches the Rfam family "Bacterial small subunit ribosomal RNA", at positions 524 to 776 of the family's 1533-position model. The record is from RNAcentral.